This 143-nucleotide ribosomal RNA is filed under the name Paenibacillus barengoltzii J12. RNAcentral's name for it is "16S rRNA. Bacterial SSU". It matches the Rfam family "Bacterial small subunit ribosomal RNA", at positions 19 to 154 of the family's 1533-position model. Lineage: Bacteria; Bacillati; Bacillota; Bacilli; Caryophanales; Paenibacillaceae. The record is from RNAcentral.
CUGGCUCAGGACGAACGCUGGCGGCGUGCCUAAUACAUGCAAGUCGAGCGGAGUUUAUCGGGAGCUUGCUCCUGAUAAACUUAGCGGCGGACGGGUGAGUAACACGUAGGCAACCUGCCCGUAAGACUGGGAUAACUACCGGA